GACGAACCGUGCGAACGUUAUUCGGAAUCAUUGGGCUUAAAGGGCGCGUAGGCGGCGGUGUAAGUUGGAAGUGAAAUCCCAUCGGCUCAACCGUGGAAUUGCUCCCAGUACUGCACUGCUCGAGGGGGAUAGGGGUCUGCGGAACUACCGGUGGAGCGGUGAAAUGUGUUGAUAUCGGUGGGAACGCCAGUGGCGAAAGCGGCAGACUUGACCCUUCCUGACGCUGCAGCGCGAAAGCUAGGGGAGCAAACAGG
Molecule: ribosomal RNA, 254 nt
Filed under: uncultured bacterium
Lineage: Bacteria
Description: partial 16S ribosomal RNA
Rfam family: Bacterial small subunit ribosomal RNA
Source: RNAcentral